UACGUAGGGUGCUAACGUUGUUCGGAAUUAUUGGGCGUAAAGCGCGUGUAGGUGGUUUUAUAAGUCAGAUGUGAAAUCCCUGGGCUUAACCGAGGAAGUGCAUCUGAAACUAUAUCGCUAGAGGGUGGUAGAGGGAGGUGGAAUUCCUAGUGUAGAGGUGAAAUUCGUAGAUACUAGGAGGAAUACCGGUGGCGAAGGCGGCCUCCUGGACCAUGCCUGACACUGAGACGCGAAAGCGUGGGGAGCAAACAGG
This 253-nucleotide unclassified non-coding RNA is filed under the name uncultured Oligoflexales bacterium. RNAcentral describes it as "contains 16S-23S intergenic spacer region". It matches the Rfam family "Bacterial small subunit ribosomal RNA", at positions 524 to 776 of the family's 1533-position model. Lineage: Bacteria; Pseudomonadati; Bdellovibrionota; Oligoflexia; Oligoflexales. The record is from RNAcentral.